CCUACGGGAGACUGCAGUAGGGAAUAUUGCUCAAUGGGGGAAACCCUGAAGCAGCAACGCCGCGUGGAGGAUGAAGGUUUUCGGAUUGUAAACUCCUUUUGUUAGAGAAGAUAAUGACGAUAUCUAACGAAUAAGCACCGGCUAACUCCGUGCCAGCAGCCGCGGUAAUACGGAGGGGGCAAGCGUUACUCGGAAUAACUGGGCGUAAAGAGCGCGUAGGCGGGAUAGCAAGUCAGAUGUGAAAUCCUAUGGAUUAACCAGAGAACUGCAUUUGAAACUGUUAUUCUGGAGUAUGGGAGAGGAAAGGGGAAUUUGUGGUGUAGGGGAAAAAUGUGUAGAU
This 340-nucleotide ribosomal RNA is filed under the name uncultured bacterium. Its description in RNAcentral is "partial 16S ribosomal RNA". It matches the Rfam family "Bacterial small subunit ribosomal RNA", at positions 338 to 695 of the family's 1533-position model. The record is from RNAcentral.